AAUGUCGUAACAAGGUUUCCGUAGGUGAACCUGCGGAAGGAUCAUUAACGAGUUUUGGAAAUGGGGGUUGUAGCUGGCCUUUUAACCGAGGCAUGUGCACGCCCUGCUCAUCCACUCUCAACCUCUGUGCACUUACUGUAGGUCGGUGAAAGGCUUGUGCUUUUGAUUAGUGCGAGCUGGAAGCCUUCCUAUGUUUCCACUACAAACGCUUCAGUUAUAGAAUGUCUUUUGGCGUAUAACGCAUUUCAUAACAA
RNAcentral lists this unclassified non-coding RNA (254 nucleotides) under plant metagenome. RNAcentral's name for it is "partial contains small subunit ribosomal RNA and internal transcribed spacer 1". The stretch from base 1 to 47 matches the Rfam family "Eukaryotic small subunit ribosomal RNA", at positions 1785 to 1831 of the family's 1831-position model. The record is from RNAcentral.